CCUACGGGUGGCUGCAGUCGAGAAUCAUUCACAAUGGGGGAAACCCUGAUGGUGCGACGCCGCGUGGGGGAAUGAAGGUCUUCGGAUUGUAAACCCCUGUCAUGUGGGAGCAAAUUAAAAAGAUAGUACCACAAGAGGAAGAGACGUCUAACUCUGUGCCAGCAGCCGCGGUAAUACAGAGGUCUCAAGCGUUGUUCGGAAUCACUGGGCGUAAAGCGUGCGUAGGCUGUUUCGUAAGUCGUGUGUGAAAGGCGCGGGCUCAACCCGCGGACGGCACAUGAUACUGCGAGACUAGAGUAAGGGAGGGGGAACCGGAAUUCUUGGUGUAGCAGUGAAAUGCGUAGAUAUCGAGAGGAACACUCGUGGCGAAGGCGGGUUCCUGGACAUUAACUGACGCUGAGGCACGAAGGCCAGGGGAGCGAAAGGGAUUAGAUACCCUUGUAGUC
Molecule: ribosomal RNA, 446 nt
Filed under: uncultured bacterium
Lineage: Bacteria
Description: partial 16S ribosomal RNA
Rfam family: Bacterial small subunit ribosomal RNA
Source: RNAcentral